This 470-nucleotide ribosomal RNA is filed under the name uncultured bacterium. RNAcentral's name for it is "bacterial SSU rRNA". It matches the Rfam family "Bacterial small subunit ribosomal RNA", at positions 335 to 798 of the family's 1533-position model. The record is from RNAcentral.
ACUCCUACGGGAGGCAGCAGUGAGGAAUAUUGGACAAUGGGCGCAAGCCUGAUCCAGCCAUGCCGCGUGCAGGAAGACUGCCCUAUGGGUUGUAAACUGCUUUUAUACGGGAAGAAACACUCCCUCGUGAGGGGAGCUUGACUGGUACCGGUAAGAAUAAGGAUCGGCUAACUCCGUGCCAGCAGCCGCGGUAAUACGGAGGAUCCAAGCGUUAUCCGGAAUCAUUGGGUUUAAAGGGUCCGUAGGUGGAUAAUUAAGUCAGAGGUGAAAUCCUGCAGCUCAACUGUAGAAUUGCCUUUGAUACUGGUUAUCUUGAGUCAUUAUGAAGUGGUUAGAAUAUGUAGUGUAGCGGUGAAAUGCAUAGAUAUUACAUAGAAUACCAAUUUGCGAAGGCAGAUCACUAAUAAUGUACUGACACUGAUGGACGAAAGCGUGGGGAGCGAACAGGAUUAGAUACCCUGGUAGCGAGU